UCUCUUUUAUGAUACCAUCUUUUUCUCUACUUUUUUGCAAUGGGUUUGCCACCAGAACACAGGUGUCAUGAAAACCACCACUCAACCUAAACCAAAAUGGGAAAGGAAAAGGCUCACAUCAACAUUGCCGUCAUUGGACACGU
This is a non-coding RNA of Callorhinus ursinus (northern fur seal), 143 nucleotides long. Lineage: Eukaryota; Metazoa; Chordata; Mammalia; Carnivora; Otariidae. The record is from RefSeq and is a predicted model, not a curated record.